CGGGGUAGUCAAUUGGUUGUUAUAUCUCCACUAAUGAGCGGAGAGGAGUAAAAAUCUUCAAAGUAAGUUAUGUGGGUCAAGGUAUGAUGAUUAAUUGGAGUUCUAGUUCAUUUACUUUGAGAAAAUUAGAGUGUUUAAAGCAGCCUCUUGGGGCACUGAAUACAUUAGCAUGGGAUAAUAAAAUAGGAUCUUCACAAUAUAUUUUAUUGGUUUAAAUUGCGUAUGAAGAUAAUGAUUAAUAGGGAUAGUUGGGGUAUUCAUAUUGGGUGGUUAGCGGUGAAAUGCUCGGAUCCAUUCAAGAUGAACUAAAGCGAAAGCAUUUACCAAGGAUGUUUUCAUUAAUCAAGAACGAAAGUUAAGGGGAUCGAAGACGAUUAGAUACCGUCGUAGUCUUAACUGUAAACUAUGCCGACCAGGGAUAUGAGUUGUUAGGAUUAUAUGAAAAUAUAAUCAAUUUCUUCUUAUGGACCUUGUGAGAAAUCAUAAGUUUUUGGGUUCUGGGGGGAGUAUGGUCGCAAGGCUGAAACUUAAAGGAAUUGACGGAGGGGC
Molecule: ribosomal RNA, 549 nt
Filed under: uncultured eukaryote
Lineage: Eukaryota
Description: bacterial SSU rRNA
Rfam family: Eukaryotic small subunit ribosomal RNA
Source: RNAcentral